GAACGCAGCGAAAUGCGAUAAGUAAUGUGAAUUGCAGAAUUCAGUGAAUCAUCGAAUCUUUGAACGCACAUUGCGCCCGCUAGUAUUCUGGCGGGCAUGCCUGUUCGAGCGUCAUUUCAACCCUCAGAUCCCCCUUUCGGGGGGGAGCUGGUGCUGGGGAUCAGCGCGUGCGCGGGGCCUAGCCCCCUGCCUGCUGGCCCUUAAAUACAGUGGCGGUCUCGCUCUGGACUCCCUCGCGUAGUAAAUCACCUCGCCUGUGGAAGCCUGGCCUGGCCACGCCGUAAAACCCCCAACUUUUUUAUGGUUGACCUCGAAUCAGGUAGGAAUACCCGCUGAACUUAAGCAUAUCAAUAAGCGGAGGAAAAGAAACCAACAGGGAUUGCCCCAGUAACGGCGAGUGAAGCGGCAACAGCUCAAAUUUGAAAUCUGGCCCUCGGGUCCGAGUUGUAAUUUGUAGAGGAUGCUUUUGGCGCGGUGCCUUCCGAGUUCCCUGGAACGGGACGCCAUAGAGGGUGAGAGCCCCGUCUGGUUGGACACCAAGCCUCUGUAAAGCUCCUUCGACGAGUCGAGUAGUUUGGGAAUGCUGCUCUAAAUGGGAGGUAUAUGUCUUCUAAAGCUAAAUACCGGCCAGAGACCGAUAGCGCACAAGUAGAGUGAUCGAAAGAUGAAAAGCACUUUGAAAAGAGGGUUAAAUAGUACGUGAAAUUGUUGAAAGGGAAGCGUUUAUGACCAGACUUGGGCUUGGUUGAUCAUCCGGCGUUCUCGCCGGUGCACUCUUCCA
Molecule: ribosomal RNA, 781 nt
Filed under: Sordariomycetes sp. genotype 59
Lineage: Eukaryota; Fungi; Ascomycota; Sordariomycetes
Description: eukaryotic LSU rRNA
Rfam family: Eukaryotic large subunit ribosomal RNA (bases 306-781)
Source: RNAcentral